Dendroctonus ponderosae (mountain pine beetle) is the source of this 1433-nucleotide RNA transcript. It is a transcript of the gene named cyclin-dependent kinase inhibitor 1B, with no coding region annotated. The transcript has 2 exons. Lineage: Eukaryota; Metazoa; Arthropoda; Insecta; Coleoptera; Curculionidae. The record is from RefSeq and is a predicted model, not a curated record.
GUAACUUUUUAUUCAACUAUCAAUUUGGUCUAUUAAAAAAAACAAGAAAAAAAGCAGAGAAGCGAGUAAUUCUCUAGCCAUGAUGGAGGCCAGAGGUUUCAGCUAGGCGUUUUUCAUGAUUCACAACGUUUCGGUUGGCAAAUCCCCAUCCCCACUGACUAUUUAUCAGGAAAAUGUCGCCUUUACUUAAGUAAAUUCAUGGUGAUAAGGCUAAAAUUCAUAAUGAAAAAGUUGAAGGAAUGAUUUAUCGUAGAAAAUCGACCAGUUAUUUGAAAUGAAAGUAUUGCGUCAUCGUUGAAUGCUUAAAACAAACAACUGCUGUUUGUACUAAAAGUACAAGCAGUUUUGGUUUUGCGUGAGAAGCCAUAUAAAAGAAUUGAGGGCCUGAUAGCAACCAUUGUUUUGCAAAUGAGAAACAUGUCAAGAUAGCAUUAUCAUUUACAUUGAAACUAAGUCACUUUCCUAGUGAACGCCAGUUGACUGGUUUGCAAUGCUAAGUGGAUUUUUUUUUGAUAAAUUACACGGUGAAAUUGCAAAAACCGUGAUAACUAAUGGACGACGCCACUGGGUGUAGUAUUGAUCAAAGCGACGCUCGCGUCGGCGUCGAAUCGCCUGCAGGCGCUCCCCUUUAUUACUGCAAAUGCAUUUUUCCGUCAAGGGAGCCGCAAAUAGAACGUCGCCGAGAAAAAUCCUGCUGCAAUGCGUUUCCUGCAGCAUUUGCCACCGAUCUCGCCUAAAAUCCAGUUGUGAAGUGCCUGAUAGUGGACUGCAUUUUACUGGCAGCAGGAUUUUUGAAUUAUGUCCGAAUCCAUUCCACAACGCUCCAAGAACAAAGUGUGUAGACGUUUGAUUUUCGAUGACGAUGACGCUCCUGAGAAGCAGCGUAAUGAAGACCUCGACCAUCUGGAUCAGCUAGUGGAUUUGGAAAAAUUGAACGCCACAGAGAAAAGUGAACAAAUGUCGCGGUGGAAUUUCGAUUUUGAUAACGAAAGACCCUUGGAUGGCGACUGGCAGUGGGAACGAGUGUCACCACCUAGUCCAAUCCAACAGCAGGAGCUGAUUAAGACUCUGGAAAUGGAAAAAGAGGACAAGCACAAUGACAGAACUGUCUAGUCCCGAUUAAGUGAGCCUGAACAUUGCCUCAAUACCAAUGUGCAAUUAUUUGUAUUAAUUUUUAGUAAGAGCUAGUCAAUCCACCAAGGGCUGUCUAAUAACUUAUUUAUUUAUUGUCUCUAUCUUUGUAGGAUGUACUUGUCGGUAAACAUGCGCCAGUAUUUUACCUCAUACAGCUAAAUGAACCAAAAAUCAUGUAUAUAAGAUUAGCAGAUAAGUAAUUUCAUACAUAUGAUAAAAUCAAGAUAUUUAUUGUGCAUUAGAUAGUAGUAUUUGUUUUCAGAUAGAAAAUUCACAAAUAAGAAAUGUUUGUAAAAAGA